AGAGUUUGAUCCUGGCUCAGGAUGAACGCUAGCGGCAGGCUUAACACAUGCAAGUCGAGGGGCAGCACGGGUAGCAAUACCUGGUGGCGACCGGCGCAAGGGGGCGUAACGCGUAUGUAAUCUACCAUUAACCGGGGAAUAGCCCAGAGAAAUCUGGAUUAAUAUCUCAUAGUUCUAUUAGAUCGCAUGAUUUGAUAGAUAAAGCUCCGGCGGUUACAGAUGGGCAUGCGUGACAUUAGCUAGUUGGUAAGGUAACGGCUUACCAUGGCUACGAUGUCUAGGGGUUCUGAGAGGAAGGUCCCCCACACUGGAACUGAGACACGGUCCAGACUCCUACGGGAGGCAGCAGUGAGGAAUAUUGGACAAUGGAUGGAAAUCUGAUCCAGCCAUGCCGCGUGAAGGAAGAAUGUCCUAUGGAUUGUAAACUUCUUUUGUAUGGGAGCAAUAAGGUCUUCGUGAAGACUGAUGAGAGUACCAUACGAAUAAGCAUCGGCUAACUCCGUGCCAGCAGCCGCGGUAAUACGGAGGAUGCGAGCGUUAUCCGGAUUUAUUGGGUUUAAAGGGUGCGUAGGCUGUUAUAUAAGUCAGUGGUGAAAGCCUGCAGCUUAACUGCAGAACUGCCAUUGAUACUGCCAGUCUGGAGUAUGGUUGAGGUAGCUGGAAUGUGUCAUGUAGCGGUGAAAUGCUUAGAGAUCACACAGAAUAUCGAUUGCGAAGGCAGCUCACAAAGCCAUUAUUGACGCUGAGGCACGAAAGUGUGGGGAUCAAACAGGAUUAGAUACCCUGGUAGUCCACACUGUAAACGAUGAUAACUAGCUGUCGGCGAUACACAGUCGGUGGCCAAGCGAAAGCGAUAAGUUAUCCACCUGGGGAGUACGACCGCAAGGUUGAAACUCAAAGGAAUUGACGGGGGCCCGCACAAGCGGAGGAACAUGUGGUUUAAUUCGAUGAUACGCGAGGAACCUUACCUGGGCUUAAAUGUAGAGCGACAGAUUGUGAAAGCAGUCCUUCUUCGGACGAUCUACAAGGUGCUGCAUGGUUGUCGUCAGCUCGUGCCGUGAGGUGUCGGCUUAAGUGCCAUAACGAGCGCAACCCUUGUCGUUAGUUGCCAUCAAGUAAUGUUGGGGACUCUAGCGAGACUGCCACCGUAAGGUGUGAGGAAGGGGGGGAUGACGUCAAAUCAGCACGGCCCUUACGUCCGGGGCGACACACGUGUUACAAUGGUAGGUACAGAGGGGCGCUAUCCAGCGAUGGAGUGCGAAUCUCAAAAACCUAUCUCAGUUCGGAUCGGAGUCUGCAACUCGACUCCGUGAAGUUGGAUUCGCUAGUAAUCGCGCAUCAGCCAUGGCGCGGUGAAUACGUUCCCGGGCCUUGUACACACCGCCCGUCAAGCCAUGGAAGCUGGGGGUGCCUGAAGUUCGUGACCGCAAGGAGCGACCUAGGGCAAAACUAGUAACUGGGGCUAAGUCGUAACAAGGUAACCU
Molecule: ribosomal RNA, 1484 nt
Filed under: uncultured bacterium
Lineage: Bacteria
Description: bacterial SSU rRNA
Rfam family: Bacterial small subunit ribosomal RNA
Source: RNAcentral